This 220-nucleotide long non-coding RNA is filed under the name Marmota monax (woodchuck). Lineage: Eukaryota; Metazoa; Chordata; Mammalia; Rodentia; Sciuridae. The record is from RNAcentral.
CUUACUAGGUAUCCUGAGGCUGUAGGACAAUUAAUACUCAAAGGAAUAAAAGCAGCAAAGGGAGUGUUUGGAAUUUCUUCCAAUAAAAUUAUUACUCCAUAUACUAUGAAUCAAAUUGAUGAGUUAGCUAAUGAGUUAGAUACUUGGGCAAUAAUCAUGUGCAAAUCUAAUGUUUCAUUUGAUAACCACUUACCAUCUAAUCCUUUAUUGUCUUUUUGGU